GGUUGGAUGGCCGAGUGGUCUAAGGCGCUGGAAUUAGGAACCUACAUCCAGUCCUCCGGGGCGUGGGUUCGAACCCCACUCCAAUCA
Non-coding RNA from Mycena metata, 87 nucleotides. The record is from the annotation of a GenBank genome assembly. NCBI's taxonomy places the organism in Eukaryota, Fungi, Basidiomycota, Agaricomycetes, Agaricales, Mycenaceae.